Molecule: non-coding RNA, 24 nt
Filed under: Arabidopsis thaliana (thale cress)
Lineage: Eukaryota; Viridiplantae; Streptophyta; Magnoliopsida; Brassicales; Brassicaceae
Source: RNAcentral
AAGCCAAAGUGCCUUCUCUUUUGG